CCUACGGGAGGCAGCAGUGAGGAAUAUUGGUCAAUGGACGAGAGUCUGAACCAGCCAAGUAGCGUGAAGGAUGACUGCCCUAUGGGUUGUAAACUUCUUUUAUAUGGGAAUAAAACGUUCCACGUGUGGGAUUUUGUAUGUACCAUAUGAAUAAGGAUCGGCUAACUCCGUGCCAGCAGCCGCGGUAAUACGGAGGAUCCGAGCGUUAUCCGGAUUUAUUGGGUUUAAAGGGAGCGUAGGUGGAUUGUUAAAUCAGUUGUGAAAGUUUGCGGCUCAACCGUAAAAUUGCAGUUGAAACUGGCAGUCUUGAGUACAGUAGAGGUGGGCGGAAUUCGUGGUGUAGCGGUGAAAUGCUUAGAUAUCACGAAGAACUCCGAUUGCGAAGGCAGUUCACUGGACUGCAACUGACACUGAGGCUCGAAAGUGUGGGUAUCAAACAGGAUUAGAUACCCUUGUAGUC
This 460-nucleotide ribosomal RNA is filed under the name uncultured bacterium. RNAcentral's name for it is "partial 16S ribosomal RNA". It matches the Rfam family "Bacterial small subunit ribosomal RNA", at positions 338 to 795 of the family's 1533-position model. The record is from RNAcentral.